RNAcentral lists this ribosomal RNA (261 nucleotides) under Stephanopyxis turris. Its description in RNAcentral is "partial Bacterial large subunit ribosomal RNA". It matches the Rfam family "Bacterial large subunit ribosomal RNA", at positions 1287 to 1552 of the family's 2925-position model. The record is from RNAcentral. Lineage: Eukaryota; Bacillariophyta; Melosirophyceae; Stephanopyxales; Stephanopyxidaceae.
AGUGCGAAUGCUGACAUGAGUAGCGAUAAUGGGAGUGAAAAGCUCCCACGCCGUAAGCCCAAGGUUUCCUGUUCAACGUUCAUCGGAGCAGGGUGAGUCGGCCCCUAAGGCGAGGCAGAGAUGCGUAGCUGAUGGGAAGCAGGUUAAUAUUCCUGCACCGUCGUAUGAUGCGAUGGGGGGACGGAUCGCGGAAGGUUGUCUGACUGUUGGAAUAGUCAGUUUCUGGUUCAUAGAAGGUGCUUAGGCAAAUCCGGGCACGUA